Long non-coding RNA from Neofelis nebulosa (Clouded leopard), 3604 nucleotides. RefSeq lists it as uncharacterized. NCBI's taxonomy places the organism in Eukaryota, Metazoa, Chordata, Mammalia, Carnivora, Felidae. The transcript is spliced from 2 exons. The record is from RefSeq and is a predicted model, not a curated record.
CCUUAUAGGCAGAGGCGAGACCACGGCUGUGCACGGCUUCCUUGCUGGUCUCUACGCCCAACUGGAGUCCCGUCCCUGCUGCCCCAAGUAUUAAGGUGGUUCCAGGGGGGCUUGUAAGCUGUUGGGGGAGGAUGUGGGUAGGGGUUAGUUCUCUAGAAAAUCCAUUCUAAGGGGUUGAGUAGUCACUGAUAGUGAUAUUAUGGCAAUUCUUAAGAAUACUCUUCAGAGAGGGCAGUUUUCUGAAGAUAGAGAAUUACAGGGCUCAACGGAAACCGUAUAGAACUGGUCCUUUCCACCGCACCUCAAAUCAGUUCACACUGGAGGAGUUCUUUCUUGUAAACUGUCCUUGGAGGACCUGGUAGCUGUUUCUUUACUUCAUCUGUGCUCCCACCUCCUCAUCAUAUGUGCGCGCGUACACACACACACACACACACACACACACACACACACUCACACACACACCCAUUAAGUAACCUGGACUGGGAUUAUCUAAUUUCCUUCUGGUUCUAAGAACCGCUUUUCUGUUUCUCAAAAGUGAUCUGUAGUGGCUCUGUAUGUGGUCUCUGUGAAGCUUCUGCACACCCCCUUCCUGCCAUGAAGUGGUAGCUAUUAGUGUCUUUCUGCAGUUUGGUGGUUUCAGAAGAGUUUCUGAGUACAAUAGGGAGAAUGGGGUGGGGUGAGCAGAAAAGAAUGUGUAUGUAGUUAAAAACUGGAGAGUAUUUUAGCAGUAUUCUUGAAGCUCUUUUGUUGUUUUUGGCAUUGCUUCCUGUUAAUUGUAGUUUGGUGUGUAGUGGGAAAUCUCAAGUUUUGCCAGCAGGCAGCUCACUGUGCUGUGUCCUUUCAUUUACACUUGAUUCUUGUGGGUUCAUGAAGGGCAGGCCAGGCCUGGGCAGCUGGGGGGAAAGCCAUGAGGUCUGAGGUUACGGUGAUGCCCUGAGAGUGAGAGAGGGCCAAUGGGGGCAGGUGUAGUGGUUCUGGGUUUUGGUCCUAAGAAGGGUCCUUCAAGGAGACCAACAAGUGAUGGUUCUCGGCCACAGCCUGAGACCACAGGGAAGCUUGACAAAGGGAGGAAGAUGGAGGGGAAAGAAAGGUUUGAUUAAUAGCUUAAAAGGUUCUUAAGACCCUGUCUCCUUUCAUUUUUUUUCUGCUUUUAUCUCUAGUCCUACCAAACCCAUAAUGUGUUUAGUGGACACACAAUAAACCACACAAUGGAAAAUUUUAAAAAGAAACCAGUGUCACCCACAACUCUACAGGUCCUAACAUAUCAACUGUCGGUCCCCCUCACCCCCCCCCCCCACUUCCUCCUGGUCUCUGUCCUAGGUAUGCAUUUAUUACCUAGUAGUAGUGGCCAUCUAGAGAUACUGAAUAAAGAUGGCAAAUCAUAUCAAGCAGUUUUCAUGCUGCCACGUGAUGUCAUGAUUAUGAUCUCUAAUGGCUCCAUAGAAUUCUGCUGGGUUGUUGUGUCCUCAUUAAUCAUUUUUCUGUUUUGAAAUAUUUACUUUGUCUUCAGCCCCCCUUUUAAAAAAUUGCUAUUAAAAAUAAUGUCUCAGUGAAUAUUUUUAUAUAGACAGUUUUUCCUUUGAUUUAUUCCCCCCAAGGUUAAAUGUCCAGGAGUAUUACUGGGUGAAAGACUGACAGUUUUGAUAGCUUUUGAUUCUUAUUGCCAAAUUGGUAUUUUAAAAAGAAGUUGCAGGUGAGCCUGGGUGGCUCAGUCGGUGGAGCAUCUGACUCUUGAUUUCCACUCAGGUAAGUGAUCUCACAGUUUGUGGGUUCAAGCCCUGUGUCGGGCUGUAUGCAUACAGCAUGGAGCCUGUUUGGGAUGAUCUCUUUCCCUCUCUCUCUGACUCUCCACCUCUCGUUCUCUCUCUCAAAAUGAAUAAACUUUAAAAAAAAGUUGUGAUUAACUUACAAGGAAUGUACGAGUUCAUCAGUUUUACUAUAACCUUAUCACUGUCGUAUAUUUUCAUUUAAAAAAUUAAGUAUAGAAGAGUGAUGUGAAGGUUCUCUUCAUUUUUUACCCGUUGGCUUAAUGCUAAGAAUAUGAUUUGCUUUGCUUAGGAACAAAGUGGCUUGUUUUUGCACUUUUUCUUUCUUCUUUUUUCUAUUUGCUUAUUUGUGUGUAAAAUGAUGCGCUUUUAUCUUGUUCGUGUUUUCUCUCCCUUGAUAUUCCCUCUGCCUUCUCAAUAAUUUCUCCUCUCCCCUAAUUAUCUUUAGCAUUUGGCCUUGCAGACAGCUGUCUUCCAAACCUGCUGAGGAGCUCUCCCACUGCUCUACAUGUAUCUACACGCUGGCAGGAAGGGUUACAAUAGCACAGGUUCCAACCAUAGAUCUCUUCACGACCUGACCUUGUCCUCACAGACAAGAUCUGUCUGGGAAGUUGAAGGUACACUGCUGGGAUGGGCUUUGGGCUCAGGAGGAGAUGGUACUAAAUUUGGUUCCGCCAGCUCCCCAGCCCCCACCCCAAUCACUCAGCAUGGGAGACCCUAAUCAGAAUCUCCCAGCUCACAGGACACCUGGCUCUGAUCUGUCUCACGUUUCCUCAUUUCUGCUUGCACAAUACCCCUCACUAUAAGCCGCUGCCUUUGACCUACUUCUUCUACCCCAAGUCCCAGCUUAAUUAUAUUGCGAUGGACCUGCUUGCAGCGGCUCAACCCCCACCACCCCCAUCCUGCUCCUCCCUCCCUGGUCCCAGCUAUAUGACUGUUCUUGCCAUGCUUAUUCAGCUACAGGACUUGGCUCUGAGUACCUAUGACCUGAAUCACAAGUUACCUUUUGAAUGCAUGCUUGCUGCCGGAAUUUCCAUGAGGCCCAAGGGACCCCUAUUUACUCUGACCACACUUGCUUCCAUUCUCCUUGGUAGAUGACUGCCCUGAUAAGGAGUCAGGAGAGGGAAAGGCAAAGUGAAACUAGAUAAACACUUUCUUCCUGCUCUCUCUGCAAAUAAUUCUCCUGUGGAGUACUUUACAAACGUUUAACAUAUGAAUAUGUAAUUUAACUAGCAUAAACCAGUUACAUUAGAAGUUUAUCACCUGAAAGACAAGUGGCUUCCUUGCUUUAUAAAAUGGUUUCCAAAAGAUUUUAAACAAUUAAUAAGUAUAUUGGAACAAGGUCCUUGCCUUAAAAGCAGUGUUAUCAAGAGUGACCUUCCUAUGAAUGAUUUUACCCCUUCAUAAAACAUGGUUUUCUCUGGGGAAGUGGCCAAUUUGUGAAAGGUUUAAAAUUACCCUUGAUUAAAAAAAGUUUUUUUUUAAUCUUUAUUUAUUUUUGAGACAGAGACAGAGUGUGAGCAGGGGAGGAGCAGAGAGAGAGAGGGAGACACAGAAUCCGAAGCAGGCUCCAGGCCCUGAGCUGUCUGCCCAGAGCCUGACACGGGGCUGCUCACGAACUGAGAGAUCAUGACCUGAGCCAAAGUCGGACGCUCAACUGACUGAGUCACCCAGGCACCCCAAAAUUACCUUUGAUUUUAUGGUGAGAAGAGAAACUAUUAAAACUGUCCAACCACAAGAGCACCUAAGGAUUAAAAUAUAUAAACCACCUACUUGAAUAUAAAGAUAAAAGGUGAACAAGCAUAUCACAGAUGGAGAAAUGGGGAAUUUUUAUCAAA